This 342-nucleotide long non-coding RNA is filed under the name Triticum aestivum (bread wheat). RNAcentral's name for it is "long non-coding RNA (TAES_LNC024218)". The record is from RNAcentral. Lineage: Eukaryota; Viridiplantae; Streptophyta; Magnoliopsida; Poales; Poaceae.
CUUGACUCCGUACUGUGGGGCUUGCGCACCACACCUAACAGAUCCACGGGCUAUACUCCAUUCUUCAUGGUUUACGACGCCCGAGGCCAUACUCCCUAGCAACCACAUUCACAACACACCUCGAGUAUGCCUGUAUGAGGAAAAGGAAGCCGAGCAUAGUUGGCAACAUGACCUUGACGCCUUGGACGAGGAACGAGAGGUCGCCCGAGCACGCUCAACCUUUUUCGAACAACAGGCACUCUCCAUCUACACACUGGAGUCAUCCAUGAUCAAUUUGAGACAGUAAUUGAUAAAUAAAUGGAGAAAAGGGAAAAAGAAAUACCAUUAAGGCAAUUGUUGAAC